Unclassified non-coding RNA from Cricetulus griseus (Chinese hamster), 104 nucleotides. Its record names the gene 7SK. It matches the Rfam family "7SK RNA". Rfam says of the family: 7SK was discovered as an abundant small nuclear RNA in the mid-70s but a possible function has only recently been suggested. Two independent studies have found that 7SK RNA binds the CDK9/cyclin T complex (known as elongation factor P-TEFb). NCBI's taxonomy places the organism in Eukaryota, Metazoa, Chordata, Mammalia, Rodentia, Cricetidae. The record is from Ensembl.
GGUCUUUAGUCAAGGGUAUAUGAGUAGUUGGGCUCCCUUGCUAGAACCUCCAAACAAGCUCUCAAAUGAACAAAAACAAAUUAGAGGAGAAAAUGUGGAAAAAU